AGUGAACGCUGGCGGUAGGCCUAACACAUGCAAGUCGAACGGCAGCACAGUAAGAGCUUGCUCUUACGGGUGGCGAGUGGCGGACGGGUGAGGAAUACAUCGGAAUCUACUUUUUCGUGGGGGAUAACGUAGGGAAACUUACGCUAAUACCGCAUACGACCUACGGGUGAAAGCAGGGGAUCUUCGGACCUUGCGCGAUUGAAUGAGCCGAUGUCGGAUUAGCUAGUUGGCGGGGUAAAGGCCCACCAAGGCGACGAUCCGUAGCUGGUCUGAGAGGAUGACACGCAAACUGGAAAUGGGACACGGGUCCAGCCCCCAAGGGGGGGAAGAGUGGGGAAUUUUGGGCAAGGGGGGGAAAGCCUGCCCAAGCCAUCCCGGGGGGGGAAAAAAGUCCUCGGGUUUGAAAACCCUUUUUUUUGGGAAAAAAAAGCAGGAGGUUAAAACCCCGCUGUUGUGGGGGUACCAAAAAAAAAAGCACCGCUUACUUGGGG
RNAcentral lists this ribosomal RNA (491 nucleotides) under uncultured bacterium. Its description in RNAcentral is "partial 16S ribosomal RNA". It matches the Rfam family "Bacterial small subunit ribosomal RNA", at positions 29 to 507 of the family's 1533-position model. The record is from RNAcentral.